Molecule: ribosomal RNA, 279 nt
Filed under: Escherichia coli
Lineage: Bacteria; Pseudomonadati; Pseudomonadota; Gammaproteobacteria; Enterobacterales; Enterobacteriaceae
Also listed under: 1 other name
Description: partial 16S ribosomal RNA
Rfam family: Bacterial small subunit ribosomal RNA
Source: RNAcentral
GGGGGAUAACUACUGGAAACGGUAGCUAAUACCGCAUAACGUCGCAAGACCAAAGAGGGGGACCUUCGGGCCUCUUGCCAUCGGAUGUGCCCAGAUGGGAUUAGCUAGUAGGUGGGGUAACGGCUCACCUAGGCGACGAUCCCUAGCUGGUCUGAGAGGAUGACCAGCCACACUGGAACUGAGACACGGUCCAGACUCCUACGGGAGGCAGCAGUGGGGAAUAUUGCACAAUGGGCGCAAGCCUGAUGCAGCCAUGCCGCGUGUAUGAAGAAGGCCUUC